This 518-nucleotide long non-coding RNA is filed under the name Coffea arabica (coffee). Its description in RNAcentral is "long non-coding RNA (CARA_LNC004694)". Lineage: Eukaryota; Viridiplantae; Streptophyta; Magnoliopsida; Gentianales; Rubiaceae. The record is from RNAcentral.
UCCCCUUCCGAUAAGGGAAACGAGCGAGUGUGGCUACUCGAUAGCCUUAGCACGCUAGUUUCGCCUUCUAAUCAAAGGGAAAAUCAAGUCACGAUUUAGGUCUCCCCGUACCCAAUAUGCAUGAAUUCCCUAGGCUCAUGCAUUCUCAAUCCACUCUAUCAUUACACUUUCACUUUUGUCUCAUUUGCACACAUGCACCUUUUUAUCACUUUCACUUGCACACGAACACUUUUUUUGUCUCCACUUGCACACGAACAUUUUUUUUGUCUCCGCUUGCACACGAGCAUUUUAUCUUCACUCGCACACGAGUACUUUCAUCUACAUUUGCACACCUUCACUCUUAUCUUAUUACUUUUAUCAUUUUUUCACUUCACAUAAACUCACACUUUCACAUGGCAUGCAUUCCACUCAUUUUUCACGUCAUUUAGGUUUAGGUGUGACCUCUCCAAAAGGAUCAUUAUUGGGCUUCACAAUUAAUGUGAUUGGCACCACUCAACCUUUGAAGAGAAAUUUCCCCC